UCGUACCACUUAUCGAUCUAUCGCAUUUUACGUGGUACAGAACGCUGUCGGACGAGUCGCUGCUGCAGGUACACGAUGCUGCUUGCGGCGGAAACUGUUUUCUAAAUACCAGAAGCCAUUCCAUAAGCCGCAAGACAAGGAUUAUGAAUAAAUAAUACAAAGUUUUGCAUCCGAAUUUUGGAUAUAGCAGUAAACUUUAGUGCAGAGAAGCGUGCACAA
Ooceraea biroi (clonal raider ant) is the source of this 219-nucleotide long non-coding RNA. RefSeq lists it as uncharacterized. Lineage: Eukaryota; Metazoa; Arthropoda; Insecta; Hymenoptera; Formicidae. The record is from RefSeq and is a predicted model, not a curated record.